ACGGGAGGCAGCAGUGGGGAAUUUUGGACAAUGGGGGAAACCCUGAUCCAGCAAUGCCGCGUGUGUGAAGAAGGCCUUCGGGUUGUAAAGCACUUUUGUCCGGAAAGAAAACUUCUCCAUUAAUACCGGGGGAGGAUGACGGUACCGGAAGAAUAAGCACCGGCUAACUACGUGCCAGCAGCCGCGGUAAUACGUAGGGUGCGAGCGUUAAUCGGAAUUACUGGGCGUAAAGCGUGCGCAGGCGGUUCGUUAAGACAGAUGUGAAAUCCCCGGGCUUAACCUGGGAACUGCAUUUGUGACUGUCGAGCUAGAGUAUGGCAGAGGGGGGUAGAAUUCCACGUGUAGCAGUGAAAUGCGUAGAGAUGUGGAGGAAUACCGAUGGCGAAGGCAGCCCCCUGGGCCAAUACUGACGCUCAUGCACGAAAGCGUGGGGAGCAAACAGGAUUAGAUACCCUGGUAGUCCACGCCCUAAACGAUGUCAACUAGUUGUUGGGGAUUCAUUUCCUUAGUAACGUAGCUAACGCGUGAAGUUGACCGCCUGGGGAGUACGGUCGCAAGAUUAAAACUCAAAGGAAUUGACGGGGACCCGCACAAGCGGUGGAUGAUGUGGAUUAAUUCGAUGCAACGCGAAAAACCUUACCUACCCUUGACAUGGUCGGAACCCUGCUGAAAGGUGGGGGUGCUCGAAAGAGAACCGAUAC
This 701-nucleotide ribosomal RNA is filed under the name Caballeronia sp. Its description in RNAcentral is "bacterial SSU rRNA". It matches the Rfam family "Bacterial small subunit ribosomal RNA", at positions 341 to 1033 of the family's 1533-position model. The record is from RNAcentral. Lineage: Bacteria; Pseudomonadati; Pseudomonadota; Betaproteobacteria; Burkholderiales; Burkholderiaceae.